Molecule: ribosomal RNA, 499 nt
Filed under: uncultured bacterium
Lineage: Bacteria
Description: partial 16S ribosomal RNA
Rfam family: Bacterial small subunit ribosomal RNA
Source: RNAcentral
GACGAACGCUGGCGGCGUGCCUAAUACAUGCAAGUCGAGCGGACCGAACAGGCGCUUGCCCUUGUUCGGUUAGCGGCGGAAGGGUGAGUAACACGUGGGUAACCUGCCCGUAAGACCGGGGUAACUCCGGGAAACCGGAGCUAAUACCGGAUAACACCGAGGACCGCAUGGUCUUUGGUUGAAAGGCGGCUUCGGCUGCCACAUACGGAUGGGCCCGCGGCGCGUGUGCGAGGUGGUGGGGGAACGGCUCCACAAGGUGACGAUGCGGAGCCGGCCCUCGAGGGUGCCCGGCCACACUGGGACUUGGACACGGCCCAGACUCCUUCGGGAGGCAGCAGUAGGGGAUCUUCCGCCAUGGACGAAAGUCUGACGGAGCGACGCCGCGUGAGCGAAGAAGGGCUUCGGAUCGUAAAGCUCUGUUGUGUGGGAAGAAGAAGCGUCGUGCGAACAGGGCGGCGCGGUGACGUUACCUAACGAGAAAGCCCCGGCUAACUACGUG